This is a small nucleolar RNA of Gracilinanus agilis (Agile Gracile Mouse Opossum), 141 nucleotides long. The record is from RefSeq and is a predicted model, not a curated record. Lineage: Eukaryota; Metazoa; Chordata; Mammalia; Didelphimorphia; Didelphidae.
AUUACACACUGUUAGAGCUUGGAGCUGAGGCCAGUUACUGGCAGAUGAACUCACAAGUGUAGGUUGUGUGCUAUAUUAAUGGCAGGUUUGUUGCUAACACCACAAGGACCUUUGUUAAUGGAAUACUAUUAUGCUCAAAGG